RNA transcript from Columba livia (rock pigeon), 4223 nucleotides. It is a transcript of the gene named mitotic-spindle organizing protein 2B-like, with no coding region annotated. The transcript has 4 exons. The record is from RefSeq and is a predicted model, not a curated record. Lineage: Eukaryota; Metazoa; Chordata; Aves; Columbiformes; Columbidae.
ACGGGGCGGGCGGGGCCGUGACGGGGCGGGCGGGGCCGCCAUGUCGGAGGCGGCAGCGGCGGGGAUGGCGGCGGCCAUGGCGGAGUCGCGGCUGCGGCGGAAGCAGCUGCUGAGCGCGGAGGAGGCGGAGCUGUUCGAGCUGGCGCAGGCGGCGGGCAGCGGGCUGGACCCGGAGGUGUUCCGGGUGCUGCUGGACCUGCUGCGCAUGAACGUGGCGCCGCUCGCCGUCUUCCAGGUGCUCAAGUCCAUGUGCGCCGGGCAGCGGCUGCCGCCGGGACCCGAGGGCGGACCCGCCGCCGCGCCCGCCGCGCUCCCCGCCGACACCCGAGGGCCCCCCGAGGACGGCCCCGCUCCGCUCCCCUCCGCCCUGCGUCCGCCGCGGUUCGGGGCCCGCCCGCCGCUCCCCCGGGCCCGUCCCGCGGCCGCGCCGCCGUCCCGCGGAGCCCCCGGUCGCCCCGCCGCGGGGAAGGGGCCGCGGGGCGGCCCGGCCGGUGCCCGGGGGGCCCGCUCGGUGUGAGGAGGGGGAGCCCUGGCCCCCCGGGCCGCUGCGCCUCCUGCCCGCGCCCUUUUUGCUUAAUUUCCCGUGUUUUUUCGGCGGAGCGGGGUGUUCUGGGGGAGGUUGUUGCCGUCACUUCUGGGUUUUGUAGCCUCCUGGCUCUGCCUUCUAAGGCUAACAAAAUACCCCCACCUUACUACGUAAUAUCGCACAGUGCCACUUCGCUUAUAUCCAACUCUAAAAGAAAGGGGGAGUUUCCUGCACAUUGGGAAUCCCUGAAAAGCGAGGGGAGCUGCGAUGCUUCCUCUGCUCCAUCCGCGGCUCCCCAGGUGGUUUCUGCUGCUUUCUAUGCCGAGGCAGAUGUUAUUGAGGUGGGAACACAAAAUGGGAUGUUCUGUGGGAUUCUUGGCUAAAAUAGUGGCUGCUUUUGUAUGUAACUGCCUUUCGUUAUUGCUCUAACCUCGGUGGACAGUAGCAAAUAUAGCCCUGAAGCUGUGCCACAUAUAUAUUAUUCCACUCUUUUUCAAACCAGUUCUAAUAAAACUUCUCCUUACUCUCUGAAGUCACUUUUGGCUGGGAGCUCGCUACCUCUGUGGGUUGCUUCCAAAAGGUUUAAAAAGAGGUAACGAAAAGAAGUCCGCUCUCACUGAGCUUGAAUUCGCUGUGAAAAGGCUCAGAAAUGCGACAGAAAGGGCACUGGCCGAAACAGCGAGGUUUUGUGAGCGUUGUGGUUGCCAAGACAAAGCCGCCCACCUAGAAAUGGGCAGGGCCGAGUCAAACCGCGGUGUCGUGUCCCUGUUUCAGGGUGAAAACUCUUGUAGCUGAUGGGUCUCUGUUGACUCACGGUGAACUCUGAGGCAAAGCUUGAAAAGUAAAUGACUGUACUGGGAACACAGAGAAUAGGGUGGGGGAAAAGGGCUUUGUCGUCGUGGGCGAGCAGAGCAGGGUGUGGGGAAAAUGGGGUUUCUCUGUUGUGAUAACAUCCCGCGCUCAGUCUGGUCUGUGCUGGGGCUGCCGUGUGGCACGGGACGUUUGUUCUCAUGGCCGCGCUGGUAAGUCCUGUGGAAAGCGAAGGUGAAAGGCAAGAUUCCUUUGGCCAACUAAAACCAGUUGGGUUUAGGAUAAGGGCGAUUUAUGCCACGAUCCGAGGCACUUGUACAGUAGCCAAACCUGCUCCUUCUGGUGUGGAUUCAUACAUGGUACGUGGAUGAGAAUCAAUCACCUCAUUGGGACAGAGAUCCGAGCAAGUUUACCAGAGCACACAUGCGGACAAGUCUCCAGGACUCCCUGGGCUUCCCUGUGAGCAGGUUCCCCGUUCUCAAGAGAUGCUCUUGACUCGGAAUUUCGUGCGGAGAAGUUGGUUGCAGUCAAGAGAACGGCCUUAUUUGUGGUUGAGAAGUGACUCUAAGGAUGCACAGGGGAAAAGGAGACACCCGGCUGACUGCUUGUUCCUGAGCAAAAUGAGGGAAGUGCAAGCACUUGGGUAUUUUAAGUGAGAAGUAGCCUGCUCUUCAGGUACUGAAUUUCGAAAGAGCAGAGAUUUUGAACAAAAAAGAUGCUGUUAAAUUUUGCUCUCUUUUCUUCUCCUUUGUUGAUGCUUCACGUGUGAUGGGCCACGUAAACUAUGAAGGAACUUUGGUAAGGUUUUUGUUCCUGUCUGUCUGUUAAUCUGGAAUAACAUAUGUUCUCUCGUGUGUUCUUUUUCUGGUACUUCGUGUAAAAAUGAGGGUUUAUUUUCUUUUCUGCAGCACUGGGCCACUGCCACGGGCUAGUUUUGGCUAGUAGUGGACCAGCUCAGCUUUGAAACAGAUGGCAACUUGUUUAUUGAUCAGUAUUGAACUUCUCAAGAGGAAAAGCCAGAAAUCACGUAACCAUUGCCUCCUGCCAGCUUGAGGAGCUGCGAGCGCAUUUGAGAGGCCGUGAGUUUCCAGGAGCUUCAUUUGGUCGUACCUGCCUCGAUUGAGGAUGCUCGUUCUGCAUCUUUAGCAGAGCAUCUCCUGGUCCAAGGUGACGCCCGAGUCACGUUGCAGCGCGAGUGUUUCCAGCCAGGCUUUCCUCUCAAGUUUCCCUUUAAAAUCGAUGUGUUGGUGUCAUUGCGUGCGGUGGGACGAGCCCUCGGAGCCGAGGGUGAAGUCCAGACAAAGAUGGUGCUGACUCCACGCUGCUCGUGGUGGACGCUCACAAAAUGAGUCUGGCGUUUGGUGUCCCAGUUGCUGCUUUAUUUCACAAGGUUAAAAUAUGUCUUCGGAGCCGGUUGAUGCUCUGAGGUCACCGGAUCAUUUGCAGCUUAUCGAGAUGGGUGAUUGGUGAUUAUUGAGAUGGGUGAUUAUUGAGAUGGGGGAUUGGACUAGAUGAUCUUUUGAGGUCCCUUCCAAUCCCAAACAUACUGUGAUACUGUGAUCAUACCCAGCAAGCCACAGUUUCACUGCGAACGUGGUAAAACAUCAAAUGCUGAACCUGGAUUUGCUUUCUGUGUAAGCAGGUGCUCAGGAAUGGUGGUAGAGGGGCACUUUGGCUCCUCUCUCUCAUCACGCUUGGUCCUGACCAAAUUCUGAUGGGCAACACCGGCACACCUUGCCAGAAGGUUUGGUCUUCCCAGCUGUGUGGUGGGUUGGUUGGUUGGUUGGUUGGUUGGUUGUUUUCUGGAAGCUCAUGUUAUAUUAGAGCCAUAUCGCACUUUGAAUGAAAACUUCUCUUUUCAGUUUCUGUCAGCCCAGGUGACUUCACUGUCACUCAGCACACACUGGCGUUAGACAGCAGACGAUUCCUUUGUGAGUAAAACCACCAUUGAAAAACUAACCCUCUCAGAAAAUUCGUUGGGCAGAACUUAAGCUCAGUCCCGUGUCCUCCUUUCUGUGAGUAUGCCGAGUACCGGUAAAAUCUCAUUGACAUCAAGAGGAGGACGUGCUUUGUCCAGCUCUCCUUGUGAGAACACAUUUCUGCAGCCUCUGGGUUGGAAGGCAGAUGUCUGCUUGCUGGGAUUUAGGCAGAGGUGGGGUCUGUGUUAGCUAAGUGCCCGGCCUGACCUAAGCUGGACAUCAGGUGCAAGUGAACGAGCUUCUGCAGCUUUAAUUGCAGCUUUGUGCAGAUUUUGGCUGGCUGAUGUCUGGUCUGGAGUGCCAUCCAGACACUUGGAGCGUCCAGGGAGGGUGCGUAGGACUGCUGGUUGAAGGUCGUGCAAGCAAACAGGUGUCCAUAGAGAACUCUGAAUUCAGGCAAAUUGGUGAUGAUCUAAAGCACAACUGGGCCAUCAGUGCCAGCCUUGUCUGUGUUUUACUGGUGCACUUUAGGUUGAAUUAGGAUUAGCUCAAGACAGGAGCUUAUUGUAGUAUAGCCCUUGGAGGAAAGUGUGUCGCUGAAAUAUUAAAACCAGCGUAUCUUCAGCAGAGCAAUUUUCUCUCCUUAAACUGGGGAAACAACCAGCGACCUCAAACUGAAGAGGGGGAGGAAUCGCUCCUCGUUCACUGAGUUUUCUAGUUCUAAGCCCAUCGUUGAGGAGCUGGGGAGAAAUAAAACCAGUUCGGUGAGCGGGACGCAGGCUCUGGGCGAGAGGAGCAGCCGGGAGGGAUCCGCUCAGCGGAUGCCUCGGCAGCCCAGCGCCAACCGGCUGCAGAAAGCAGGAGCUUCUGGAAAGGGCAGCGGAGCGGGCAGCAGCGCCUAAACCAGGCCUUGGAACCCACCUGCUGUGAUGCUCGACAGUGUAUAUAAACUGUGCUGGUUAAAAAUG